RNAcentral lists this ribosomal RNA (292 nucleotides) under uncultured bacterium. Its description in RNAcentral is "partial 16S ribosomal RNA". It matches the Rfam family "Bacterial small subunit ribosomal RNA", at positions 505 to 796 of the family's 1533-position model. The record is from RNAcentral.
GUGCCAGCCGCCGCGGUAAUACGGAGGGGGCUAGCGUUGUUCGGAAUUACUGGGCGUAAAGCGCACGUAGGCGGUGGUGCAUGUCAGAUGUGAAAGCCCUGGGCUUAACCUAGGAAUUGCAUUUGAAACUGCGCCGCUAGAGGCCGGAAGAGGGUAGUGGAAUUCCCAGUGUAGAGGUGAAAUUCGUAGAUAUUGGGAAGAACACCGGUGGCGAAGGCGGCUACCUGGUCCGGUUCUGACGCUGAGGUGCGAAAGCGUGGGGAGCAAACAGGAUUAGAAACCCUCGUAGUCC